Molecule: non-coding RNA, 718 nt
Filed under: Lottia gigantea (owl limpet)
Lineage: Eukaryota; Metazoa; Mollusca; Gastropoda; Lottiidae
Description: Eukaryotic large subunit ribosomal RNA
Rfam family: Eukaryotic large subunit ribosomal RNA
Source: Rfam by way of RNAcentral
GAUAGAACAAUGUAGGUAAGGGAAGUCGGCAAAAUGGAUCCGUAACUUCGGGAGAAGGAUUGGCUCUGAGGGCCGAGCGACCCGCUGCUAGCUUCGGAAGAGGGAAUCAUAGAGCGGGAGUCCGCGAGGUGGCAUAUUAAUUUGGACUUGGGCGCACCGAACGGCGAACGUUCUACCCUCGGAAGGGCAGGCGGACGGAGCGGGGUAGGGGUGACUCUCCCCGUUUUCGGCACGGGCGCGAGGAACGGCUCGAUCAGAACUGGCACGGUCCGGGGGAAUCCGACUGUUUAGUAAAAACAUAGCGUCUCGAAGGCCGGAGAUCGGUGUUGACGGGACGUGAUUUCUGCCCAGUGCUCUGAAUGUCACGGUGAAGAAAUUUACGGAAGCGCGGGUAAACGGCGGGAGUAACUAUGACUCUCUUAAGGUAGCCAAAUGCCUCGUCAUGUAAUUAGUGACGCGCAUGAAUGGAUUAACGAGAUUCCCACUGUCCCUAUCUACUAUCUAGCGAAGCCACAGCCGGAGGAACGGGUCCGGGGCUGUCAGCGGGGAAAGAAGACCCUGUUGAGCUUGAUUCGCGAUUGGCUUGGUUGGGCGAGAGCGCAGGUGUAGCUUAGGUGGGAUUGCUUUACGGCGCAAGUGAAAGACCACUACUGCGUUCCUCGUUCAACUCACUCGAUGAGGACCACGAGAGCGGCCGCAUUCGGGGCGGUGUCGGCGA